RNAcentral lists this ribosomal RNA (414 nucleotides) under uncultured bacterium. RNAcentral describes it as "bacterial SSU rRNA". It matches the Rfam family "Bacterial small subunit ribosomal RNA", at positions 505 to 916 of the family's 1533-position model. The record is from RNAcentral.
GUGUCAGCCGCCGCGGUAAUACGUAGGGUGCGAGCGUUGUCCGGAAUUACUGGGCGUAAAGAGCUCGUAGGCGGUUUGUCACGUCGUCUGUGAAAUCCUGCAACUCAAUUGUAGGCGUGCAGGCGAUACGGGCAGACUUGAGUACUACAGGGGAGACUGGAAUUCCUGGUGUAGCGGUGAAAUGCGCAGAUAUCAGGAGGAACACCGGUGGCGAAGGCGGGUCUCUGGGUAGUAACUGACGCUGAGGAGCGAAAGCGUGGGGAGCGAACAGGAUUAGAUACCCUGGUAGUCCACGCCGUAAACGGUGGGUACUAGGUGUGGGCCUCAUUUCACGAGGUCUGUGCCGUAGCUAACGCAUUAAGUACCCCGCCUGGGGAGUACGGCCGCAAGGCUAAAACUCAAAGAAAUUGACGG